Long non-coding RNA from Lathyrus oleraceus (garden pea), 1221 nucleotides. RefSeq lists it as uncharacterized. The record is from RefSeq and is a predicted model, not a curated record. Lineage: Eukaryota; Viridiplantae; Streptophyta; Magnoliopsida; Fabales; Fabaceae. The transcript is spliced from 3 exons.
UUAGUACAAAAACAAUGUGUGACAGCGCAGUCUUAGUAGCACUGUUGCCAUUACGAAGAAUGAAAUCUAAUACCUUUAUGUAACUUUUUAGACAUAAGCACUUAAAAGACAAACUUUUUGGUAAAUAGGUUGUGAGAUGAAAAUUUGAUCUUAACUUAUCUAUGCAGGUUCUAGGUUGCUCAAUGUGGUUUGCUGAUUUUUUAUUUGUGGCAAGAAAUUGGGCUAAAGAUGAACAAACACGGAAGUGCUUAAGAGGUCAGCGGAAGACUUCUGCUUUUGCUUCUCCCAGAGUGACAGGGAAUUCUGGUGGAUCAGCCGAUGGGUAUAUGGCUGCCCGAUGUGUGGUGGACAUGGGUUCGAGUUGUAUAGAUAACUUCAUUGUGGUAUUUUUAUAUUAAGCUUCAUGUUUCGGAAAUUGGAGGUUUGCAAAUAUUUGUGGCUAACUAUGAAAGAAUACUCAUGGAGUGCUGACUGGAUUUGUACAGAAGAGUUUUAGGUUUUGAGUGUAGAAGCAAUGUGUACCUGCUUUUUCAUGCAUGUUGAUGUAUGAGAGCUUUUACUUGCUACAGGUGAAUUAGAGUUUUAGGGCCUAAGUAAGUUGUCACUUAACAAUCCCUGAGAGUGAGAAGGCUCUACACGAGUUUUACGGAUAUGCCUUGCAUCUUAUUGUAUUAUGUAUAGACAUUAGGUUUUAUUCACCAUCUCAUCGAUGUACCCGGUUCUAUAGAGUAGCUUAGUUUUGCAGUAGUACAUUAGUUGCACUUAUAUUAACUGCACUGACCAAUAUGGGUUUUUUUGUCAUCAUAUUGCACAAUCCAAUUGGAAUUGGUUCUGGUUGUUAGUUUUACUUGAUUGUCAGAGUCUUUGCAGGCAGGUAUUACAACCUUGGUAUGCUCACAUCAUGAAUAUAUCAAAAUCAGUCUUAAAGUCAUUACAGAUAAAAUGGCUAACCAAGACGAUACCCAUGCCGCGAAUGAAUCACGUAAUAAUGUUGAAAAAUAAAUCAAACGAGGAUUGACUGUUAUGAAGUCAAUCAUUCGUGCAAGAGACAAGGGUGUAAAAUUUGAAGUACAUUGGAGUGCUGAAGACCAACUAAUUGAGCCUAACGGUUCAAUGUUGGCAAGUUACAUUGGUUUCCUUGUUCGCCAACAUAUUCCGAUUACAUGUGAUAAUUGGAGAAGUCCGGACUUGAAGGUUGGCAAGGAAAAAAUAUGGUCGGAG